RNAcentral lists this ribosomal RNA (496 nucleotides) under uncultured bacterium. Its description in RNAcentral is "partial 16S ribosomal RNA". It matches the Rfam family "Bacterial small subunit ribosomal RNA", at positions 28 to 506 of the family's 1533-position model. The record is from RNAcentral.
GAUGAACGCUGGCGGCGUGCCUAAUACAUGCAAGUCGAGCGAACAGACGAGGAGCUUGCUCCUCUGACGUUAGCGGCGGACGGGUGAGUAACACGUGGAUAACCUACCUAUAAGACUGGGAUAACUUCGGGAAACCGGAGCUAAUACCGGAUAAUAUAUUGAACCGCAUGGUUCAAUAGUGAAAGACGGUUUUGCUGUCACUUAUAGAUGGAUCCGCGCCGCAUUAGCUAGUUGGUAAGGUAACGGCUUACCAAGGCGACGAUGCGUAGCCGACCUGAGAGGGUGAUCGGCCACUCUGGAACUGAGCCACGGUCCAGACUCCUACGGGAGGCAGCAGUAGCGAAUCUUCCGCAAUGGGCGAAAGCCUGACGGAGCAACGCCGCGUGAGUGAUGAAGGUCUUCGGAUCGUAAAACUCUGUUAUUAGGGAAGAACAAAUGUGUAAGUAACUAUGCACGUCUUGACGGUACCUAAUCAGAAAGCCACGGCUAACUACGU